AGAAGUCGAGGACUGUUUUGUUUGCAUUCUUGUUCACAACAUUGAUGGUCCUGGAUUACGUGAUUCUGACAGCCAACAAUGUGUUGCAAGCAUUGCUGCUUGUUCUCAUGUUCGUAUGGUUGCUUCCAUUGACCAUGUCAACGCUCCUCUUUUGUGGGACAAGAAGAUGGUUCAUACACAAUUUGACUGGUACUGGUGCCAUGUUCCUACUUUUGCUCCAUACAAGGUUGAAUCAAUGUUUUUUCCUUUCAUCCUCG
This 257-nucleotide unclassified non-coding RNA is filed under the name Hevea brasiliensis (rubber tree). Lineage: Eukaryota; Viridiplantae; Streptophyta; Magnoliopsida; Malpighiales; Euphorbiaceae. The record is from RNAcentral.